CAAUAAGUGUUCUACUGCACUUUUUAAAAAUCCAUAUCCACCUUGUGUGCAAUGUUAGAUCUCGUCAAUCUUGGCGAGGUUUUUAUACAUCAACUCAUUCUUUAACUAAUUUGUCUGAAAAAUAUUAUGAAUACUUAAUUCAAAAUA
RNAcentral lists this unclassified non-coding RNA (147 nucleotides) under uncultured Mortierella. RNAcentral's name for it is "sequence contains ITS1". Lineage: Eukaryota; Fungi; Mortierellomycota; Mortierellomycetes; Mortierellales; Mortierellaceae. The record is from RNAcentral.